UUCACCCGAAUGCAUCUCUCGUGGAAAAACAUUCGUCAUCGUUGAAACUGAUAUAAUUAACUAAAAGCUGGGCUCUACCAGUGGCACAGCUUUUUCCCUCCUUCGUUUCUCCUCCUCCUCCUCCUCCUCCUCCUCUAAAACCACUACCACCAUGAAACGGACCAGCCCGACGCGACGGCCGUCUACGUCUCGUUUCUUUACAGAAGCCUCGGUCGAACAAAGAACCACGAGAAGAGAUAUUAAAAGAUUUCUGCCGGGACCUCUCAUUUCCGCGACGAAUGGAAUUCAAUGGGUUCCGUAAACGAGGAAGUGGUUUUUAAAUUUAAUAACCGAUGUUUUACCACGAGUGUAAUUACAUUAGGCGAUCUCUCGAUACCCGGCAAACAGCUCUCGCGCCUUCUCCCUCCCAAAAAAGCGUAAAAACCAGGCCACCGAUUUCUCCUCCUGCGAUUCCUAUAUUUCCCGAGACGUAUAAAAGACGAAUUGAGAUUUCUGUCUUCCGUCGCAAGGGUGGUAUUGAGAGUCAACGACAAAUUUUUUAGAACUCUCGCAAAUUCGUUUGAACGCGUACGAAUAUACCAUCGACUCGAAUAGUAUAUUCCGCCGAAGACAGAACAAUCGAUGCGAUUAUCUUGUAUUCGUUCCAUCGUAUCUUAAAGCGAGAACAUUUCAAUUUCGCUGUAUCCUCGCCGGUUGACGAGACGGACAGAGUAAAAUUCGAUCAAAGCGGCUCCGUUACUUUCGAACGAUUCGCUAUCUCCACGGUCUAGAGAUAAAUACGUCGCAGGCGUUCAGCUUAAUCUCGAUCGCGACACGAAGUUACAAUCGAUGGGUCGAAAGAUCGGCGACUCGCGUCUCCAGGGGAGGGUUAAUCGAUAUCAAUGGUAGUAGUAUUGGUAACCCCGAUUCGCGUCCAGGUGUUGUGCAUGACUGUACUCACGGCAAGAUGGCGACCGGUCCUCGAGCACCCGUUUCCGCGCUCCCUGCAGGAUACCACUCCACCCUUCUCCUCUCUCGUUCUCUCUUUCUCUUUCUCUUUUUCUUUCUACUUCUCCUUCUCACCCGCUCUCUCUCUCGCUCUCUCGCUCUCUCUCUCUCUCUCUCUCUGCCCCGUCUUUUUCUUUCUCUUUCCUUUUCUCGUGUUCGCUCGCUCGCGCUGCCACUUGAAAUUUUUUUACCGCCGCGAGGGGAGGAAAUGGAAUAAAACGAAAGAAAGGGGAAAAAGGGGGAAAAAAUCGGAGCUCUGGCUGCCAACUCGUCGUCAACGUCGACGACGACGUUACCGUCGUAACUGCUACGUCUCCGUCGCAUGGUGUUUUAAACUCCGUAAAUGAUUAAUUCUAUUCGCUGUUGACAAUUUUCCUAUGUGCUAACAAAUAUUCGUAAGUAAUUUCUGCUAAUUUGAAAAUUACAGAUUUCCCGUCUGAUCCCUUCGAACUUGCAACAAAUCCUAUGGUAAUUUUUUGGAAGGAAUACUCUGAUAGUCGGAAAACAAUGACAAUAAGAAGGAAGGGAUGACAUAAAUGGCUCGUAAGAAGAAAUUAAUCGCGAGAAAUGGUGGAAACGGCGACGGUCGCUCAACGAAGCGAAACAGCUGCUCUAUCGUGGGACGUACUCGGCGAGAGAAAGCUCUGUUUACGCGAAAGAUCUAGUUUCUCUAUUAAGAAAACUAUCUAUGGGAGGUAUCGCUAUUGUACGAAACGCUAAUAAUACCGUAACUGCCACGCCCAAUGCGUAUGUUGCAAUUUCGCGUCGUGGUGUGCACGCGAUUCUGGUCAUCCAAUUACACGUAUCAUCGAGCAGAUCGAGAUAAUAGAAUGAAAAUGCCGUACGGAGAACGAGGAGAAAUAGUAAACGCGGUAUUGAAUUGAAAUAGAGAUUACGGUACCUUCGCUGUUAUGGAAAAAUAGAGAAAGAUAGGACGAGUCGCCACGCUAUAGAAGAAGAGAAAGAAGCGAGAAAAAAAGAUAGGGAAUACGAUACAGAGAUGAAUGGAAACAGAGUCUACGGGGACCACGAAAAACUAACGAGUAAAUUAUGGGGCGGCUGCUCGUCCUAGCGUGGACGAAUCGAGGGGAAAGGACGGUUUACAGAUCGGGCCACCGGAUAACUUUCAGCACCAUUAAUGUUCUAUGGGUGUUUACGAGCCGCCGCUUGGCGGCGACUACGUCGACCCUACUUAGGGACAAGAUCGAUCGCGAUCUAAAUACGUAACUCUGUUUGUUACGCGCUUGAACAUCGAAAUUGAAAUUGAUACACUGUGCGAGUGUUGUUCGGGAAACUACCUGUCACACACGAACGACGUUCUAAGAGAUGGAUCGCGUGGACGAAGAGCAAAAGUUAUCUAAAGGUGAUUUUAAAUCUAAGGUAGUAUAUAUAUAUAUAUAAAGAUCGAAAUUUGAGAUCCAAUAUGAGAGCAGAUGGCCGUCGCGUCGCAAAGCUGGAUAUGCCGCGUACACGAUAAUAACACGAUAUCGAGGACGGAUCGAAACACAGAGAAUGACUUUGAUCCCCGUCACCCGCGAAAGUGGUUUUGCACGAAAAUCGCUCGACGCGUAUGCUCGUUGCCAUCGAAAUUCGAUGAAACGGUGAAAGUCGACGGUGACCGAAAAAAGCGCUAUGAAAAUCCGCUUACGUCGAAACGCCAUUCCGCUUGGAGUGUAGCUCGUGUUGGUACAGGUAUUCUUUAAAAAAAUAUUUUUAGCACGAACGAAACACACCGGUGUGGAGGAAUAGGGAAAAAGGAAACGUUAACGAAGUAGCUGGAUAGAAACGACUAAAAAACAUUUCCAAGAAGCGUGUUACACGUUCCGUGACCGUGCAAGAAAUUCAUUUUGAAGCGCAAAAAACCGACGGAGAACAAAUAAUCGACGUCAUGUUGACACGAAAAUGAUUUUCAGCGUGAGCGAAACGACACGACACGCCGAUUCCCGCUAACUCGAAUCGGACGAUUUGCCGCUAAUGCAUGCCGGGACAUCCGUGAUCUCGCAUACUCGUUCGUACCCGGCUGUAAUGUAUUCAUCAGGACGGAUCUGCGUGUAUCGGCACGAUCGCCGUCUUCUGACAUCUCUUUUGAAUGUUAUUGCAGAGGAGGAGAGGCAGCCGCUGCACAGACGAUUCGUAUUCGUCGGUGCGUGCGACGAGAUGGAGACAGGGCACGUUUUGAACUUGCAAUUACGAUAUCUCGGGAAUCUGGCGCGUCAUUAUUAGAACCGAUAAAAGAAGGGAGAAGAGAGGAAAGGGAAGGGUAGAGAAGGGAGAUUUCUAUGGGAGCGAAAUAAUAUUGUCGGAUUCGUGCGCUUUCGAAAUCCAUAACUUGGAAACUAUCUUUGUCCGUUAUAGGCAGAAUUUAAUGGAUCGAAAUUACGUUUUUCUCAUCGCCGUGAUUUUACGUAUAGACUUAUGUACGCGUUAUAUUAAACCUUCUCAGGCAACGACAUUAACGUAGAUGUACUGAUAUUCUGCAGUUAUCUCACCUAGGUUUCGAACGUUGUAAUUUGCUUACCAUUCUAUGUACAUGGUCGGUAUUACUGGUCGAUGAAUCGCGAGCUCGACGAAACUCAAACGGAAUUCUGUCGCUCGUUAGACGAUGAAAAACGUUAAAAAACGUAACAAGAUACACACGGAAAAGGACGGAGGAUAACAAAAACAAAGAAAUAGAGGGAGGUCGGUAUUCCUGCAAAAAUUUCGGCUGGAAUAACGAAAUGAAUGCAGAAUCGCUUCGAGUCGGUCGAGUGGCCCACUCGAAACGAAAUACGAUGUGGAUGCGAGGAUCCGCGCCGCGUCCGGAAUAUUUUUCAUUUAAAAGCAUUUCAUUUCGAAACGCUCGAUAUUUUGUCGUGUGUCUCGCCGUUUCGAAAUCCCUCGGGAAAUCCGAUCUAUCGAGGACGCGUAUUAUUAUCACACGAGAAACGGUCGAACGACAGAGUUUAAUUUAAUCCUUGACCCCUCUCUCUGCCUUCCUUCUCUUUUUUACUCUGUCUUUUUCUAGAAAUGUCUUUCUUCGACAAUUUUGCAAUUUUGUUCGCGCGACUCGUUCGAUGUAUUCGGACUAAUAUCUUUAUAUCUCUUUUUUUAACAGGUAGUUACCUGAUUU
Bombus terrestris (buff-tailed bumblebee) is the source of this 4096-nucleotide long non-coding RNA. RefSeq lists it as uncharacterized. NCBI's taxonomy places the organism in Eukaryota, Metazoa, Arthropoda, Insecta, Hymenoptera, Apidae. The transcript is spliced from 3 exons. The record is from RefSeq and is a predicted model, not a curated record.